Molecule: ribosomal RNA, 541 nt
Filed under: uncultured archaeon
Lineage: Archaea
Description: bacterial SSU rRNA
Rfam family: Archaeal small subunit ribosomal RNA
Source: RNAcentral
CGGGGUGCACCAGGCGCGAAAACUCUACAAUGCAGGCAACUGCGAUAGGGGGACAUCGAGUGGCAUCCACCUUGGGUGCCUGUCCCACCGUCUAAAAAACGGUGGUUAGCAAGGGCCGGGCAAGACCGGUGCCAGCCGCCGCGGUAAUACCGGCGGCUCGAGUGGUGGCCGAUAUUAUUGAGUCUAAAGGGUCCGUAGCCGGCUUUGCAAGUCCCCUGGGAAAUCCAGCGGCUUAACCGUUGGGCUUUCAUGGGAUACUACAUUGCUUGGGACUGGGAGAGGUAGGAGGUACUCGGGGGGUAGGGGUGAAAUCCUGUAAUCCCCCGGGGACCACCGGUGGCGAAGGCGUCCUACCAGAACAGGUCCGACGGUGAGGGACGAAAGCUAGGGGCACGAACCGGAUUAGAUACCCGGGUAGUCCUAGCCGUAAACGAUGCCCGCUAGGUGUCACGGCGGUCGUGAAUCGCCGUGGUGCCGUAGGGAAGCCGCGAAGCGGGCCACUUGGGAAGUACGGCCGCAAGGCUGAAACUUAAAGGAAUGG